RNAcentral lists this ribosomal RNA (380 nucleotides) under uncultured eukaryote. RNAcentral's name for it is "partial 18S ribosomal RNA". It matches the Rfam family "Eukaryotic small subunit ribosomal RNA", at positions 592 to 976 of the family's 1831-position model. The record is from RNAcentral.
CAAUAGCGUAUAUUAAAGUUGUUGCGGUUAAAAAGCUCGUAGUUGGAUUUCUGCUGAGGACGAUCGGUCCGCCCUCUGGGUGAGUAUCUGGCUCGGCCUUGGCAUCUUCUUGGAGAACGUUACUGCACUUGACUGUGUGGUGCGGUAUCCAGGACUUUUACUUUGAGGAAAUUAGAGUGUUUCAAGCAGGCGCACGCCUUGAAUACAUUAGCAUGGAAUAAUAAGAUAGGACCUUGGUUCUAUUUUGUUGGUUUCUAGAGCUGAGGUAAUGAUUAAUAGGGAUAGUUGGGGGCAUUCGUAUUUAACUGUCAGAUGUGAAAUUCUUGGAUUUGUUAAAGACGGACUACUGCGAAAGCAUUUGCCAAGGAUGUUUUCAUUGA